This 1219-nucleotide ribosomal RNA is filed under the name Staphylococcus aureus. RNAcentral describes it as "partial 23S ribosomal RNA". It matches the Rfam family "Bacterial large subunit ribosomal RNA", at positions 117 to 1338 of the family's 2925-position model. Lineage: Bacteria; Bacillati; Bacillota; Bacilli; Caryophanales; Staphylococcaceae. The record is from RNAcentral.
AAUGGGGAAACCCAGCAUGAGUUAUGUCAUGUUAUCGAUAUGUGAAUACAUAGCAUAUCAGAAGGCACACCCGGAGAACUGAAACAUCUUAGUACCCGGAGGAAGAGAAAGAAAAUUCGAUUCCCUUAGUAGCGGCGAGCGAAACGGGAAGAGCCCAAACCAACAAGCUUGCUUGUUGGGGUUGUAGGACACUCUAUACGGAGUUACAAAGGACGACAUUAGACGAAUCAUCUGGAAAGAUGAAUCAAAGAAGGUAAUAAUCCUGUAGUCGAAAAUGUUGUCUCUCUUGAGUGGAUCCUGAGUACGACGGAGCACGUGAAAUUCCGUCGGAAUCUGGGAGGACCAUCUCCUAAGGCUAAAUACUCUCUAGUGACCGAUAGUGAACCAGUACCGUGAGGGAAAGGUGAAAAGCACCCCGGAAGGGGAGUGAAAUAGAACCUGAAACCGUGUGCUUACAAGUAGUCAGAGCCCGUUAAUGGGUGAUGGCGUGCCUUUUGUAGAAUGAACCGGCGAGUUACGAUUUGAUGCAAGGUUAAGCAGUAAAUGUGGAGCCGUAGCGAAAGCGAGUCUGAAUAGGGCGUUUAGUAUUUGGUCGUAGACCCGAAACCAGGUGAUCUACCCUUGGUCAGGUUGAAGUUCAGGUAACACUGAAUGGAGGACCGAACCGACUUACGUUGAAAAGUGAGCGGAUGAACUGAGGGUAGCGGAGAAAUUCCAAUCGAACCUGGAGAUAGCUGGUUCUCUCCGAAAUAGCUUUAGGGCUAGCCUCAAGUGAUGAUUAUUGGAGGUAGAGCACUGUUUGGACGAGGGGCCCCUCUCGGGUUACCGAAUUCAGACAAACUCCGAAUGCCAAUUAAUUUAACUUGGGAGUCAGAACAUGGGUGAUAAGGUCCGUGUUCGAAAGGGAAACAGCCCAGACCACCAGCUAAGGUCCCAAAAUAUAUGUUAAGUGGAAAAGGAUGUGGCGUUGCCCAGACAACUAGGAUGUUGGCUUAGAAGCAGCCAUCAUUUAAAGAGUGCGUAAUAGCUCACUAGUCGAGUGACACUGCGCCGAAAAUGUACCGGGGCUAAACAUAUUACCGAAGCUGUGGAUUGUCCUUUGGACAAUGGUAGGAGAGCGUUCUAAGGGCGUUGAAGCAUGAUCGUAAGGACAUGUGGAGCGCUUAGAAGUGAGAAUGCCGGUGUGAGUAGCGAAAGACGGGUGAGAAUCCCGUCCACC